CCAAGGCUCAGAGCUCACCUUGAUCAGAAGUUCGUGGAUAUUUGGCAGUCUAGAGUCGUGAAACCAGGCAGGAUAAUCUCCAAUAUGCAUCCACAAGAGCUGAAGAAUCUAUAGAAACAUCUGCAAAAGGAGCUGAAGACACCACUAAGCUUUCUGCAGCUACUAAUAACUGGGACCAGGGAAUGCAACCUGGGGUCUAUCUUGUAUAAUCAAAAAGCUGCAGAUUCUGGAAUAGAAGCAACGUUGGAAAUAUUCAGCGGCAAUGAUCAAACCAGCAACUACGAUGAAGACGUCAUUUCUCAGCAGCUCUGGUUACACAGGUCAAUAAACGCAGGAUUUCAGGAACCAUCUUCAAAGUACAUGGAACGAGGGUUUCCAUAAAGCUGUAAUUCGGGACAACUUUUCCUUGAUUGUCACACAGCUUCAGAUAUCGCCAGUGUUCUACAGACUUCUACGGGAAAAGGGGAUUCUAUCUGACCAACAAAUCCGAAUAAUACAGAGGGAAGGCAGCCAAGAGUAUAAAGUUGCCAAAUUGCUCUCGCUGUUGGAGGCUGAAGGACAGUGGGUCUUGGAGCCAUUCUCUGAGGUGCUAAAAGAGACGGGCUAUGUUGAAUUGGCUAAAGCCUUAAAUAAUGCAGCAUUAACAAGGAGCCUAGAGAAACGGGAUAAUGGUGGUAAGAGAGACAAGCUUUGGAAACAAGUACAAACACUUGAACAAGAGCUACAGAAGGGCUACAUGGAGGAGGCACUUACUCUCAAAAGAGCCCUGGGAGACAUGAAGAGAGAGUAUUUACUACGGUUACAGAAUUUGGAAAAUGAGUUGGCCUUCAUGGAAAGGGAGAGAGAUGUUGCCAGAAAAGAACAAAAGGUGGCACUGCUGAAGAAAGAAUCACUUCUGAAGGAGAACAAGGAACUUCUGAAAAUAUUAAGACACUUGCGCCAAUCCUUAGAACAUCAUGAAAGCAAAUGGAAUGGUGCAGCCUCGACUCAUCAGACUUUGUUAUAUAACAAUCCUACUAGACAGAAGUGGAAUUAAUUUCAUUUCAUCCACUACAGUUUAAUCUUUAGUUGUUUUGUUCUUUUCAAAUGGAACUACUGUUUGUGAUUUUCUUUUCCAUCACAAAUUCUUAUUUUGUCAUUGAAAACAGAAAAGGCUGGAAAAUCUCAGCAGACCAUGUGGCGUCCAUGGGAAGAUAAUGGUUGAGGCUGAAGAAACUCCUUCGGAAUACUGAUGGUGUCUUGAAGUUGAACCACUAUUGUUUCUCUUUCCAUGUAUGACGCCUGACCUGUCACAAAGUCAUGGUACUACACAGCAUGGUAAAAAGGACCUUUGGUCCAUUUCAACCAUUCUAACCAAGUUAUCUAACUAAGCUAGUCCCAUUUGUCUACAUUUGGCCCUUAUCACUCUAAACCAGGGGUUGCCGACUUCUUUUAUACCAUGAACCAAUACCUUUCAGCAAGGGGUCAGUGGAUCCCAGAUUGGAAACCUCUGCUCUAAGCCUUUCCUACCUACAAAACACUUUUCCAGCAUUUUCAGAUUUGCAACAUCUACAGGUUUUUUUUUGGUUUUCACAUCUUGCACCUGCUGAUUAAUAUCCAGUCGCCAUGAUAUUUUGUACCCCUUUGAAGGAAUUUCAGAAGCAUUUCAUCUUACAAAAUGUUCUAGUAAUUAGAAUGCCUCAUUUUGUUAUUCUUCUGUAGUUGAAAUACAUCUCUGCAAAUACAAUAGCAGUACAUAAGUUAUAUUACUGUAGUAUACUGAGAGGCUACACUACUUCAGUAUUGUAGUAUACUGCAGAAGUUAUACUCAGCCUGUAUUCUACAAUACUGCAGUUUUUCCUGAUGAAGAGCAAUCCAUACUAAAUGGUUUUUGGUGAAAAGUGACUCUGAUGUUGCUUACAGGAAUAAUGCAGUCUGUGCAAGGUUUCUUCCCAAUUCUAUUAAUGUUAUGUGAGGUAAUGGGGAAAUUUUAAAUAAACACCAACAACACAGCUAAAACCAGUUCGUCUCUGAUUAUUUUACUUUGGAAAUAACAUGGAUGGUAAAUUAUUUGCAUCCAAGACCAAUGGAAUUAAUGCCUCUGAACUCUGUUUGCAAUACUUCAGACAGUCUUG
This is an RNA transcript of Hypanus sabinus (Atlantic stingray), 2114 nucleotides long. RefSeq lists it as uncharacterized. Lineage: Eukaryota; Metazoa; Chordata; Chondrichthyes; Myliobatiformes; Dasyatidae. The transcript has 7 exons. The record is from RefSeq and is a predicted model, not a curated record.